UCAGACGAUGCGUCAUGCAUAUCAAUAAGCGGAGGAAAAGAAACUAACAAGGAUUCCCCUAGUAACGGCGAGUGAAGCGGGAAGAGCUCAAAUUUGAAAUCUUAAAGGGUUUCCCUUUACGUAUUGUAGUUUAAAGAAGUGUUUUCUGUUGAGGUUUUGGUAAAAGUUCUUUGGAAUAGGACAUCAUAGAGGGUGAGAAUCCCGUAUUUGACCUUUACUUUCAACUUUGUGAUACACUUUCAAAGAGUCGGAUUGUUUGGGAAUGCAGUCCAAAAUGGGUGGUAAAUUUCAUCUAAAGCUAAAUAUUGGCGAGAGACCGAUAGCGAACAAGUACCGUGAGGGAAAGAUGAAAAGAACUUUGAAAAGAGAGUUAAACAGUACGUGAAAUUGUCAAAAGGGAAGCGUUUGACACCAGUGUUGUUUUUCUGAAAAUCAAUUAAAGAACUGUUUAUGCUAAGUUGUUUAGACUUUAUCAGCUAACUGUUUAGUUUUGAGCUUUUCUUUAAUGCACUUUUCAGUUAACAAGUCAACAUCAAUUUCUUUUGCUGUAAAAAAGCUUGAGGAAGGUGGCUUGAGAUUCGUCUUAAGUGUUUAUAGCCUCUUGCCUAUGCAGUCGGAGAGAUUGAGGUCUGCAGCGUAGAUCCUUCGGGGCUAAAUGCAUUUGUGCUAAGUUAUAGCAUUUUAUAGACAACUUGUUGACUAUGAUUUGUCUUGUAGCUUACUCGCUUAUGUUAUUUUACCUACGCUUAGGAUGUUGAAGAUGUAGCACAUCAU
RNAcentral lists this ribosomal RNA (774 nucleotides) under uncultured Neocallimastigales. RNAcentral describes it as "partial large subunit ribosomal RNA". It matches the Rfam family "Eukaryotic large subunit ribosomal RNA", at positions 18 to 635 of the family's 3401-position model. The record is from RNAcentral. Lineage: Eukaryota; Fungi; Neocallimastigomycota; Neocallimastigomycetes; Neocallimastigales.